This 6200-nucleotide long non-coding RNA is filed under the name Triticum aestivum (bread wheat). Its description in RNAcentral is "long non-coding RNA (TAES_LNC026936)". The record is from RNAcentral. Lineage: Eukaryota; Viridiplantae; Streptophyta; Magnoliopsida; Poales; Poaceae.
ACUAUUCUACUCUUCUCCGGUUCAUCAACCCUGCUGCUCUGGUUCUCCUUGCUUCGAUUCUAGUCUGGCGACGCUUGAUUGGUUACGUCAUGCGUGUGCUGCGUUCGCGAGGUCGGAGUGUCAGGACCUGAGUUGCAGUAAAGUUCAGUUUCAGCAUUCGGUUCAGUUAACGCGUCACCAACGGCCAGGAUCGCUCCUCUGCUUAGCAGCGUCACGGGCCAUUAGAUCCUUACUGUAUCGUUUCUAGUAGUUACUAUUCCACUUCACCGUCUUGCCGGUAAAAGUUUCCCUUAUAUAACAGCCAGGGUGUGGCUGGUCAAGCAUUCUAUUCUCUCUGGAUUGCCUGAUGGCUUCACAUAUACGCUAGCUCGUUUACAUACAUUCAAUAAAGUAGAUCUGAGAGACUCAUUCCUCUCCGUUUAUACAAUCCCCUUUGCGAUUUCUCUCUAGAUCAUGGCUAGUUCCUGACAAAGUGGUAAUCAGAGCUAGAGAUCCUCGGCGGCAGCGCAAUUCCGAGGGCAAUUUUCUCCGAUGGGCGAUUCCCACCCUUCUUCGUGAUCGGCGGCGGAGUUCAGUGGGUGGCGUUGGCGGCGGGGUGGUGGUGAUCGGCGACGGUGUGGAGGUGUUGGUGGCGGUGAAAUUUGGGCGCAGGUCUGUCGAGCGGAAUCGGUUGCUCGGGCACACUGCUUGACCAGUAAAAUCCCGAGUUCCUGCACAGUCUGUGCGCUACGGUGGCGUGGAUCAUGGCGGCGGCAGGAUCAGAGGGACGGGAAGGGUUGCUGGAGUUCCAGUGUUAAAAUUCCUCACCCAAUCCUCUGAUCGAAGGAGAUGGGGCAUGCAAAGGCAAUUGACGAGGCGGAUCUGCAAGAGAUCAUGGCACUGCGUGAUGAUUUUGGCGCUCUGCAGCAGGAUAAUGUUCAGAUGCGGUCCGAGAUGUCAAAAUUACAGGGGGAGGUGCUGUCCAUGAGUGCUAAACAAGGAGAAAUCUCCAAGCAGGUUGGAGGGGUUAUGGACCUCAACAAACAACUGUCUACCAUCAGUUCAGUGCUGCAAUCGCUAGUAAAAACCACAAUAACACUUACUCAGAGUGAAAUGCCCUCCACCUCUCGUCAAGUUCCCAAGUCCCCAACGCUGCAGCAAGAAAACAUUCAGGAUCAGCUGACCAGAAUAGAAUAGCUGCGGAAGCAAUUGGAUCUUGAAAGAGAAAAAUCAAAACAGAUGGAAGAUCAAUUGCAAAAUCUGCCCCCAAUAAGAACUAGCAGAACACAAGCACCUCCAGGGUUUGCAAACGCAAUCAGGACAGAUUUUAGCCAAAAUGUCAGUACACCAUUAACUGCAAGAGAUCGUGUGCCCACUCCAGCCUUCAACAAAUUUUAUCAACAGAAUAGAGAGAGGCAAAUGUGGCAGGGUUAUCACAAAACCUAUGAACAAGAGAUGCAAGCUCAGUUCAUGAGAUCAUUAACAAAAGGACCAAAACUGGACUUUCCAAGGUUUUCGGGCGAUGAUCCAGUGGGGUGGAUUAGGCAAUGCAACAAGUACUUUCAAAUGUCAGCAGCUCCUGAAGAGUACAAGGUGUCCCUAGCACAAAUGUAUGUGGUGGAUGAAGCUGAUGUGUGGCUUAGACGUUCUGGGUUACUGAAGAAACAAUUAUCCUGGAAGCAGUUUGGAGCUGAAGUGAUAAAAAGGUUUUCUGACACAGGAUCCUAUGACUUAACUGAAAAAUUCAACUCAGUUAAAUAGCUGAACAGCUCAGUGUCAGAAUACACUAAGUUUUUUGAAGAUCUCAUGGCUGAUGUCCAGGAAGAAACCUGAGCUAGGGGAACAGUGGUUUGUCAGGUGUUAUGUUAAUGGAUUAAGAGAUGGGAUAAAAUUUCAACUCAGGCCUCUCAGGCCUCAAACACUUACAGAUGCUUAUUGUUUGGCUAGAGAUAUUGAACCUUGCCACCCUCCCAUAAGUGUAGCACCAAAGAAGCAAGGAGUCCCAUACAACAAUGUUUACCAGAAGUCUAGCUGGCAUUCCCAAGCAAAGCAGAGCACCCCUUUGCAACAGCAGUCACUACCUGUCAGACAAGUAGAAGCCCCUGUUACUAACACUCAAAAAGUGAGAAAAGUGGGGGAAUGCUGGCGAUGUGGGGACAGGUGGGUGCAUGGACACAAGUGCAGACUAAUACCAAAUGUCCAUAUGUUGCAACAGGAGGAGGGGAGCAGCAACAAGAAGAAAUAGAGGAAGGAACACAACAUGAACAAAUGGAAACUAAUGAACAAGAAGAGCAAGUCAUGUUUCUCUCUGCUCAUGCUAUGGGCCAACAAUUGGCAGUGCCCACACCAACAAUCAUUAUACACAUCAAUGGCAAACGAGCAGUUGCUCUUCUGGAUUCGGGCAGUACAACUUCCUUUAUAAAUCCACAAUUUGCAGCUAAAGCUAAUUGCAACAUAUUGCCAGUGAAACCAAGAGCCAUUGCUGUAGCAGGUGGUGCAAAGUUAAUAUCUGCAUCUGUAGUUCCAAAGUGUGAGUUCAUAGUUGCUAAAACAAAGAUGUCACACAACUUCAGAACUCUAGACCUGCCUACCCAUGAUGUAAUCUUGGGGUAUGACUGGUUUACAACAGUUAGUCCUGUGGCUUUUGACAUUCCCCAGCAACAAUUCAGUUUCACACAACAGAGGCAACAGUCAAUAUCUACAGCUAUCUUCACAAACCCUCAAACCACUAAGGAAGUUCAAGCAGAGGAUGUGAAGAAGCUCAUGGGUAAAGGAGCAGAGGUAUUCUUAUUGCAAGUGCACAAUAUACUUAUGGAAGCUCCAGAAGGAACCAAAACUCCUCCACAAAUACAAUAACUGCUCUUGAAAUAUGCUGAUUUGUUUGAGGAGCCCACUGAACUUCCACCUCAUAGGGCACUGGAUCACAAAAUUCCUUUGAUUCCAGGGGCAAAUCCUCCACAACUGAGACCUUACAGAGUUCCACAACAUCAAAAGAAAGAAAUGGAAGAGCAAAUAAAAAAGUUAUUGGCUAAACACUUGAUCAGGCACAGCCAAAGUCCUUAUGCUGCUCCAAUCCUGCUGGUUAAGAAGAAGGAUAGCUCUAUGAGGUUAUGCACUAAUUUCAGAAAACUAAAUUCCCUGACAGUCAAGAAUAAAAUUCCCUAUACUAGUAAUAGAGGAUUUAUUGGAUGAAUUGCAUGGAGCAAAGUAUUUCUCUAAGUUGGAUUUGAGAUCUGGUUAUCACCAGAUAAGAAUGCACCCAGAUGAUAUACACAAGACUGCCUUCAGGACCUUUUGGGGGCAUUUUGAGUACUUAGUCAUGCCUUUUGGGCUGUCUAAUGCUCCUGGCACAUUCCAAGAACUGAUGAAUACAAUAUUUGCUCCCUAUUUGAGAAAGUUUGUGUUGAUGUUUUUUGAUGAUAUCCUCAUCUACAGCAAAGACCUCAAAGAGCACCUGGAACAUGUCCAAAUGGUUUUACAAGUGUUGAAGGACCAUAAGUUGUUUGCAAACAUGUCCAAGUGCAGCUUUGUAGUGCAAAAAGUGGAGUAUCUAGGACAUGUGAUUUCUGAGAAGGGAGUAGCUACUGAUCCACAAAAGAUUGCAGCAAUUGCUGAUUGGCCAACUCCUAACACAGUCACAAAGUUGAGAAUCUUCUUGGGUUUGGCUGGGUAUUAUAGAAGGUUUAUUAAAGAUUAUGGCCUUAUUUGUAGGCCACUACAUGACCUUCUAAAGAAAGGACAGUUCCAAUGGACCCUAGUGCAGGACAAGGCCUUCUGUACACUGAAACAAGCAUUAACUACAACUCCAGUUCUGGCACUACCAAAUUUCAGUCAACCAUUUGUAUUGGAAACUGAUGCAUCAGGAAAGGGCACUGGGGAAGUUCUCAUGCAGGGAGGAAGACCCAUAUCUUAUUACAGCUCUGCUCUGUGUCCAAGAAAUGCAGCUCUCUCUACUUAUGAAAAAGAAGCUCUAGCUAUUUUGGAAGCAUUAAAGAGGUGGAGGCACUAUUUGCUGGGCAAUGAGCUGGUGCUCAAAACUGAUCAACAAUCCUUAAAGUUCAUCACAUAUCAGAAAAUAACAGAGGGAGUAUAACACAAGUUGAUGAUGAAACUCUUAGAAUUCAAUUUCACUAUCCAGUACAAGAAAGGAGUGCAAAACAAAGUUGCAGAUGCUUUGUCUAGACUAUUGCCAAGUUGUUUCACCCUAUCUGCUGUGACUCCUACAUGGGCAGAAGAUCUAGUGGAAAGUUAUAAGGAGGAUCCACAGUCUCAACAGUUACUGGAAAAGUUGUUAGUGCAAAAACAGGAUAAUUCUUCAGAUUACAGCCUACAUUCUGGGAUCAUGAGAUUCAAGGGCAAGCUAUGGGUUGGCAAGUCUGCAGAGUUAAGAAAGAAACUAAUGUAUGCUCUUCAUAAUUCUCCUAUUGGAGGCCACUCAGGAGUGAGAGCUACAUAUAACAGGGUGAAGAACAUCUUUUUCUGGCCAGGACUUAAACAAGAUGUAGAGGCUUUUAUUGCAGCUUGUCCUAUUUGUCAACGAGCAAAACAUGAGAAUUGCUUGCAACCUGGCCUGCUGGACCCCCUCCCUGUUGCAGACAUGGCUUAGCAACACAUAUCUCUGGACUUUGUGGAAGGCCUACCAAAAUCCAAGGGCAAGGAUGUUAUUAUGGUGGUGGUCGAUAGAUUCACGAAAUACAGUCAUUUCAUUCCCAUGUCCCACCCUUAUUCAGUUCUCUCCGUGGCUCAAAAGUUUGUGCACAACAUCAUAAGAUUGCAUGGUCCUCCUAAGCUCAUUAUCUCUGACAGAGAUAGAAUUUUUACCAGCAAACUGGGGAAAGACAUUUUUACUGCCCUCAAGGUGGAACUCAGAUUCAGCACGACCUACCAUCUUCAAACGGAUGGCCAGACAGAGCGGGUGAACCAGUGUUUGGAAACAUACCUGCGUUGUAUGACAACUGAUCAACCUACCAAGUGGAUGUCAUGGCUGUCUCUGGCAGAAUAUUGGUAUAAUUCCACUUAUCACACGGCUUUGAAAAUGUCUCCAUUUCAAGCCCUGUAUGGAUUUCCACCUCCACUCAUAUCUGAAUUAGCAAUUCCUGGACCAGAUGAUGAGGAAGCACAAGAUUUCUUGACAGCUAAACAGCAAAUGUUAGAGCAGUUGAAAGAGAAUUUGUGCAAGGCUCAGAACAGAAUGAAGCGUUAUGCAGAUCUCAGACGAGUGGAGAGAAGUUUCCAGGUGGGGGACAUGGUUUACUUGAAGAUGGCACCUUAUAGAUUGGCAGCAUUUGGCUUUCGAGGAGCUCUUAAGUUGCAGAACAAGUAUUAUGGCCCUUUUCUCAUAACACAAAAGAUAGGGAACUCUGCUUACAAAUUGCAAUUUCCUAGCAACGUUCAGAUAAACCCGGUCUUUCAUGUCAGCCAGCUCAAAAAACAUAUUGGACAAAAGGCGAUUCCGAGCCCCAAUCUUCCAAUGGUCAAUGCAGAUGGCACGAUCAAAACGGGCCCGGCCGCAGUUCUACAAGUCAGGCAAAUUCCACGCAACAAUGCACCAGUGGUUCAGUGGCAAAUCCAAUGGGAAAAUCUGUCACCGGACGACGCGACGUGGGAGGAUGCAGACUUCAUCAAGUACUCAUUCCUGGAGUUUUUCAGGCAAACUACUCAAGCUUGGCGCACAGCACAAGAAUCGACGUGAGGACUCGUCGAUGCUCAAGAAGGGGGCAAUGUCAGGACCUGAGUUGCAGUAAAGUCCAGUUUCAGCAUUCGGUUCAGUUAACGCGUCACCAACGGCCAGGAUCGCUCCUCUGCUUAGCAGCUACAUUGCUGCGUGUAACCGUCUACUCUACCGAUUGCCUUCGGAUUCUGUUGUGAUGCUCUGAUUGUCUUGAUUUGGUCAGAUUGUCGCUUGAUUUGUUGGUACGUUUAAAACAUGGGCGUUGGGUAAGCACAGAUGGCCUUCUAACUAGUAAAAACAAAUAGAUUUGCAUGAGAAGCACCUAAUGGGCCGCCUGUAUGACCUGGUUUCUGACUACAUUUGGUUGCGUCUGUCAGUUAUUUUGAGUAGUUACAGUGUGCUCUGCCUUCCAGAGUUUCAGUACAGUUUGCUCCAUGUAAGCUGGCAUAAAAAUAUAGUUAUGUACUUCUCUUGAAUGUUUUACUCACUAGACUUUCCUAUCUGAUACCUUUGUCAAAGGUUUUCUCAUACUCAAUCAAAAAUAUUUUUC